Molecule: long non-coding RNA, 669 nt
Organism: Chelonia mydas (Green sea turtle)
Lineage: Eukaryota; Metazoa; Chordata; Testudines; Cheloniidae
Exons: 2
Source: RefSeq, a predicted model, not a curated record
AUGUUUAUUCUAAUAAAGACCUUGAUGUUUCUAGUAUAACUGAGAAUUUUUUCAGUUCAAAUCAUUUUUGUUUUCUUGUAAAAUACAUGGGAUUUUAACAGCAAACCACUAAGGCUUUGGUCCUGGGAAUCAUUGUACCAUAUGGAGGAGGCAGAGCAAGGUGGUUGCACUCCAGGUAUUUCACUGACUAAUAAUCCAGAAGAUAAGAAAUUGCUCACCUUGUUUAUGAGCUUGGGGAAACUGAAAUGUGCAGAUACCUGAAUUCCUGAAAAUAUCUGCAACAUCUUUCUUUGACCCAUAUAUUAUUUUAUUUCAGUGAUAUUGUGAUUGACUGUAAAGGCUCACAUGCAGAUGUGGAGGACAGAAGGAACUACUGGACAACAAAAGGCCAUUUGGUCCAACAUACUAUUUAUUCUAUUCAUAUUUACUUUAACCCCUUUUCUCUUCUCCUUUUUCAAUGUACCUUCAGUUCUCUCUCUCUCUCUUCCCCAUAAAAUGUCUUGCUACCUGUUAAACUCACUUAUGUUAUUUUCUUUCAUGGUCUUCCUUGACAACUAAUUUCAUAUGUUCCUUUAUGAACACCAUGUUGCUUUUUCACAUGUAUGACAAUAAUAAACAACGGCAAUUAUAUUUUUCAAUUAAAUGUACUGUCCCUCUGGCCUUCCUGGU